UACAGAUUGAACGCUGGCGGCAUGCCUUACACAUGCAAGUCGAACGGCAGCACGGGAGCAAGUCCUGGUGGCGAGUGGCGAACGGGUGAGUAAUAUAUCGGAACGUGCCCAGUCGUGGGGGAUAACGUAGCGAAAGCUACGCUAAUACCGCAUACGAUCUAUGGAUGAAAGCGGGGGAUCGCAAGACCUCGCGCGAUUGGAGCGGCCGAUAUCAGAUUAGCUAGUAGGUGAGGUAAUGGCUUACCAAGGCGACGAUCAGUAUCNGGUUUGAGAGGAUGAUCAGACACACUGGAACUGAGACACGGUCCAGACUCCUACGGGAGGCAGCAGUGGGGAAUAUUGGACAAUGGGCGAAAGCCUGAUCCAGCAAUGCCGCGUGAGUGAUGAAGGCCUUCGGGUUGUAAAGCUCUUUUACUCGGGACGAUAAUGACGGUACCGAGAGAAUAAGCCCCGGCUAACUCCGUG
Molecule: ribosomal RNA, 465 nt
Filed under: uncultured bacterium
Lineage: Bacteria
Description: bacterial SSU rRNA
Rfam family: Bacterial small subunit ribosomal RNA
Source: RNAcentral